This 658-nucleotide ribosomal RNA is filed under the name Muribacter muris. Its description in RNAcentral is "bacterial SSU rRNA". It matches the Rfam family "Bacterial small subunit ribosomal RNA", at positions 47 to 696 of the family's 1533-position model. Lineage: Bacteria; Pseudomonadati; Pseudomonadota; Gammaproteobacteria; Pasteurellales; Pasteurellaceae. The record is from RNAcentral.
CUUNANNNNNNNNNNAGUCGAACGGUAACAGGAAGAAAGCUUGCUUUCUUUGCUGACGAGUGGCGGACGGGUGAGUAAUGCUUGGGAAUCUGGCUUAUGGAGGGGGAUAACUACUGGAAACGGUAGCUAAUACCGCGUAAUGUCUACGGACUAAAAGGGGCGAAAGCUCUUGCCAUAAGAUGAGCCCAAGUGGGAUUAGGUAGUUGGUGAGGUAACGGCUCACCAAGCCGUCGAUCUCUAGCUGGUCUGAGAGGAUGACCAGCCACACUGGAACUGAGACACGGUCCAGACUCCUACGGGAGGCAGCAGUGGGGAAUAUUGCACAAUGGGGGAAACCCUGAUGCAGCCAUGCCGCGUGAAUGAAGAAGGCCUUCGGGUUGUAAAGUUCUUUCGGUGAUGAGGAAGGUGUAAUGGUUAAUACCCAUUACAAUUGACGUUAGUCACAGAAGAAGCACCGGCUAACUCCGUGCCAGCAGCCGCGGUAAUACGGAGGGUGCAAGCGUUAAUCGGAAUAACUGGGCGUAAAGGGCACGCAGGCGGUUGUUUAAGUGAGGUGUGAAAGCCCCGGGCUCAACCUGGGAAUUGCAUUUCAGACUGGACAACUAGAGUACUUUAGGGAGGGGUAGAAUUCCACGUGUAGCGGUGAAAUGCGUAGAGA